UGAGGAAUAUUGGUCAAUGGGCUUACGCCUGAACCAGCCAAGUCGCGUGAGGGAAGACUGCCCUAUGGGUUGUAAACCUCUUUUGUCAGGUCAGAAAAGAAGG
This 103-nucleotide ribosomal RNA is filed under the name uncultured bacterium. RNAcentral describes it as "partial 16S ribosomal RNA". It matches the Rfam family "Bacterial small subunit ribosomal RNA", at positions 355 to 456 of the family's 1533-position model. The record is from RNAcentral.